RNAcentral lists this unclassified non-coding RNA (298 nucleotides) under uncultured Microascales. Its description in RNAcentral is "sequence contains 5.8S rRNA gene, ITS2, 28S rRNA gene". Lineage: Eukaryota; Fungi; Ascomycota; Sordariomycetes; Microascales. The record is from RNAcentral.
AACGCACAUUGCACCCGGUGGUAUUCUGCCGGGUAUGCCUGUUCGAGCGUCAUUUCUACCCUCAGGGUCUCCUGUCUCUUUUCUGGAGAGAGAGAGUUCCUGGUGUUGGGAUUUACAGGUGGUCUUCCGGACGGUCUGUAGACCCUAAAUGCAUCGGCGUGCGUGCUGUACGUUUUCCUCUGCGUAGUGGAUUUUUUCUUUAUCUCGCAUCGGAACGCAGCGCUGCCCAGCCGCUAAAAAGAAAACUUGCUUAGCGAAGUUUGACCUCGAAUCAGGUAGGGUUACCCGCUGAACUUAA